RNAcentral lists this ribosomal RNA (270 nucleotides) under uncultured bacterium. RNAcentral describes it as "partial 16S ribosomal RNA". It matches the Rfam family "Bacterial small subunit ribosomal RNA", at positions 333 to 599 of the family's 1533-position model. The record is from RNAcentral.
UUGCCCCUACGGGAGGCAGCAGUGAGGAAUAUUGGUCAAUGGCCGAGAGGCUGAACCAGCCACGUCGCGUGAGGGAUGACGGCCCUACGGGUUGUAAACCUCUUUUGUCGGGGAGCAAGACCCGCCUCGGGCAGGCGGAGCGAGAGUACCCGAAGAAAAAGCAUCGGCUAACUCCGUGCCAGCAGCCGCGGUAAUACGGAGGAUGCGAGCGUUAUCCGGAUUUAUUGGGUUUAAAGGGUGCGCAGGCGGAGCAUCAAGUCAGCGGUAAAA